RNAcentral lists this ribosomal RNA (402 nucleotides) under uncultured bacterium. RNAcentral's name for it is "bacterial SSU rRNA". It matches the Rfam family "Bacterial small subunit ribosomal RNA", at positions 355 to 774 of the family's 1533-position model. The record is from RNAcentral.
UGGGGAAUUUUGGACAAUGGGCGCAAGCCUGAUCCAGCCAUGCCGCGUGCAGGAUGAAGGCCUUCGGGUUGUAAAGCUCUUUUGUGCGGGAAGAUAAUGACUGUACCGCAAGAAUAAGCCCCGGCUAACUUCGUGCCAGCAGCCGCGGUAAUACGAAGGGGGCUAGCGUUGCUCGGAAUCACUGGGCGUAAAGGGUGCGUAGGCGGGUCUUUAAGUCAGGGGUGAAAUCCUGGAGCUCAACUCCAGAACUGCCUUUGAUACUGAGGAUCUUGAGUUCGGGAGAGGUGAGUGGAACUGCGAGUGUAGAGGUGAAAUUCGUAGAUAUUCGCAAGAACACCAGUGGCGAAGGCGGCUCACUGGCCCGAUACUGACGCUGAGGCACGAAAGCGUGGGGAGCAAACA